This 200-nucleotide unclassified non-coding RNA is filed under the name soil metagenome. RNAcentral describes it as "partial contains internal transcribed spacer 2 and large subunit ribosomal RNA". The record is from RNAcentral.
UCAUUUACACCCCUCAAGCUAAGCUUGGUACUGGGACCUGCCCCCGGGGCACUCCCGAAAUGCAGCGGCGGUGCGGCCGGACCCCCUAGCGCAGUGACUUUCAAUCUCGCUACAUGGAGUUCGCGUCCGUCCCGGCCGGACAACAACCAACUAUUUACACGAUUGACCUCGGAUCAGGUAGGGAUACCCGCUGAACUUAA